UCGCAGUCCUCAUAUCCGCCUAUGGCUUCAUACGCUGUUUAACCCCUAUGUACAGCUCGUCUAUAAUCACAGCUCAUGGGGGCAGAAUACUGAGAAUAAAUACUGAAGAUAAUCAAAAAGGAAACUGCAUUAUUUAUCUUUUUGAGUUUCACGAGUAGGCUACAACAGACUGAAGAAGAUGGGGUGCUGCACGGGGAGGUGUUUGUUGAUAUUAUUCUGUUCAGCUGGUGUUUGAUUUUCUAGGUUACCAGUGGGCACCCAUCCUUGUCAACUUCCUGCACAUCCUUGUGGUGAAAUUGGGCUUGUUUGGGACAGUCCAGUACAGGCCUAGUUUUGGGCAGUGAUUAUCUGUCAAUGGGACUUCCCUCUCACUGGUUAUGGUUGAAGGACAGUGGUCCAGGCUGUGCAAACAGAAACAUCCCAACCACUAUGUGGCAGCAUCUGGAAAGUCUUCCUCUGUUCUCAGAGUUGGGCUGCACGCUUGAGUAUCAAUACAUCGAGGUUGUGCACAGCGCCCUGCAGCUUUUCCUUUCUGUAAAACCCUAAAACACUACUCCAUUAAUUCAAGUGAAGAAAAAUGUGCUACUCCAUACAGCAUUCUAGGGCAUUGUGUGCUUUCAUCUUUGUGGUAACAGUUUGGGGAGAGCCCUUUUUCUAUUCCAGCAUGACAAUGUCCCUGUGCACAACGCGAGUUCCAUUAAGAAAUGGUCUGGUGCAGAAGAACUUGAGUGGCCUGCACAAAGCCCAGACCUGAACCCCAUUAAACAUCUCUGGGGUGAAUUGGAGCACCAGCUGUGAGCCAGGCCUCAUUGCCCAACAUCAGUGCCUGACCUCACUGAUGUUCUUGUGUCUGAAUGGGAGCCAGUCCCUGCAGCCAUGUUACUACAUAUUGUAUAGUGGACUCAAUUCAGUCCCUGCGUGCUGUCUUACUGACAGGCGGCUGUUUUCAUAUGUUCACACGCUUAUUUGAGUGCGUACCUGGUUACCCCUUUUACACCAAAAUGGACAAUUAAUCAAAUUAAAAUGUUAAAUGUCCUAGAGUAAUUAUUAAACCACAAAUGGAUAUGAUUUAAUUAAAUAAACAUACAGUCUGCAUGUACUGCGUGCUGCAAAGGGAAUAUGUGAAGCUGCUCAUAUGCUGAAAACAAUAAAUUUGCAUUGCAUGCUGCGCUUGUUGUAGUAUAUGACAGACAGCGCUCAUUCACUGUGACACACACAGCGCCUGCAGACUAUAUAUUUAUAUAAUUAAAUUGCAUCAUUUUGCACUUUACUAAUCACACUGGGCGAUAUAACCAACUGUGUGAAGCUACCAUCAAAAACGCACACAAACUGAAAAGCCAUCACAUCAAAAUAAAAGCUUGAUGAGUGAGAUUUAAGGAAUUGCGACAGAAAUGCGUUACUACUGUAUAGUAAAAUGUAUUUAAUUAUUAUUGUUAUUGUUAUUACUAUUAUUAUAAACCAAUAUCACACAAGCAAAUGAUCUGUUAAACUGAAUAAAUAUUUUCAUCUAUGUUUUAAUUUAUAAUGUGAUGCUCUGUUGUGCAGCACUUCAUUUGAGAAACAAUGAGACCAAAGUUGUGUUUAAGAUUAUGCUAUGAGGAUCUGAUUUGCUGGAGUGCUUCAUUUGAUAAAAAAAAAAAAAAGAAAGAAAGAAAUGCAAUGGUAAAGUUGAAAAGUAUUGUUGAAAUUGUUGAAAAGUAAUUCUUUUAUUUUCAUUUAAUUUAAGUUUUCUGGAUUUAUUUGAUUAGACAAUUUUAUUGAUGUAAUUUAAUUAAACUUUAAAACAUGUAAUUCAGAAAAAACUAAAACACAGAAUAUGUGGAAAAAUAAAUCAGAAUUUACCAUGAUAAAGUAAAGAGAGCACCCUUAUGUAGAAUUAUGUAGCUUUUUUUUAUUUUUUAUUAAUAAUAUACAAUAAGUCAAAAGUAUGAUCGAUUUCUGUGGCUGUUAAACUUUUAAAUAGAACAAAGUUACUUAGUCCACAUUUAAUAGUCGUGUAAGCAUUAAAGUGGUCACUGUGGCAGUGACAACCACAUCAAGUUUUUUAAUGGUGAAUGUUAUUUAGAUGUUGCUUCAUAGUGAUGCUGUAAUUUUGUGUUUUCCCCUCCCCUGCAUGCUCUGUUGCUUUUCAGUGAAUUUGAGUGUCAGCUUAAUUCAUCUUCCUCCCAGGAACUGCUUAAAAGCCCCUCUUACUUCUUCCUCUGAAAUGCACACAAACACACACAAUGUGUUUCUUGCAACCUGACAAAAGAGUCAAAUAGGAGUACAUACAUGCUUUACAUUUCUGUUUCUAAUUUUCUACCUGUAUUGUGUUAUUUUUCAGAUUUUUAUAAGUAACCGGUGUCUAGAGCUCAUCGACAUUUCAAGAAAGAGAAGGAACAUUGAAAGGGAAAAAGAUAACAGUAUAGACAUCACCAGUUCUCGCGACAGUACCAGUAAUACACAGAGACAUAUUUGCGCUAAUGUGUAUGAGAGUGCUGAGAGUGAAAGUGUCCUGAUGGCCCGAAAAAAACAUGUUGAAAACACAUGUACAGUGCAUCAAACAUCA
Molecule: long non-coding RNA, 2548 nt
Organism: Myxocyprinus asiaticus (Chinese sucker)
Lineage: Eukaryota; Metazoa; Chordata; Actinopteri; Cypriniformes; Catostomidae
Exons: 4
Source: RefSeq, a predicted model, not a curated record